Molecule: ribosomal RNA, 253 nt
Filed under: uncultured bacterium
Lineage: Bacteria
Description: partial 16S ribosomal RNA
Rfam family: Bacterial small subunit ribosomal RNA
Source: RNAcentral
GACAGAGGGUGCAAACGUUGUUCGGAUUUACUGGGCGUAAAGCGCGUGUAGGCGGCUUUGCAAGUCGGAUGUGAAAGCCCACGGCUCAACCGUGGAAGUGCAUCCGAAACUGCAUGGCUGGAGUCUCGGAGAGGAAGGUGGAAUGCUUGGUGUAGAGGUGAAAUUCGUAGAUAUCGGAGGGAACACCAGUGGCGAAGGCGGCUACCUGGAUUGACACUGACACUGAGGCGCGAGAGCGUGGGGAGCAAACAGG